RNAcentral lists this ribosomal RNA (512 nucleotides) under uncultured bacterium. RNAcentral's name for it is "partial 16S ribosomal RNA". It matches the Rfam family "Bacterial small subunit ribosomal RNA", at positions 28 to 507 of the family's 1533-position model. The record is from RNAcentral.
GAUGAACGCUGGCGGCGUGCCUAAUACAUGCAAGUCGAACGAAACUUCUUUAUCACCGAGUGCUUGCACUCACCGAUACAGAGUUGAGUGGCGAACGGGUGAGUAACACGUGGGCAACCUGCCCAAAAGAGGGGGAUAACACUUGGAAACAGGUGCUAAUACCGCAUAACCAUAGUUACCGCAUGGUAACUAUGUAAAAGGUGGCUAUACUACCGCUUUUGGAUGGGCCCGCGGCGCAUUAGCUAGUUGGUAGGGUAAAGGCUUACCAAGGCAAUGAUGCGUAGCCGAAUUGAGAGGUUGAUCGGCCACAUUGGGACUGAGACACGGCCCAAACUCCUACGGGAGGCAGCAGUAGGGAAUCUUCCACAAUGGGCGAAAGCCUGAUGGAGCAACGCCGCGUGGGUGAAGAAGGUCUUCGGAUCGUAAAACCCUGUUGUUAGAGAAGAAAGUGCGUGAGAGUAACUGUUCACGUUUCGACGGUAUCUAAACAGAAAGCCACGGCUAACUACGUG